This 381-nucleotide ribosomal RNA is filed under the name uncultured eukaryote. Its description in RNAcentral is "partial 18S ribosomal RNA". It matches the Rfam family "Eukaryotic small subunit ribosomal RNA", at positions 592 to 975 of the family's 1831-position model. The record is from RNAcentral.
CAAUAGCGAAAACUAAAGUUGUUGCAGUUAAAAAGCUCGUAGUUGGAUCUCAGGUUAGGGGCUGGUGGUCUGCCUUAUGGUAUGACUGCUUGUCUCCGCCUAAUCAGUCGAAUGUUAUUUUGCGUGCUCUUAAUCGAGUGCGUAGAAUACUCGGCACGUUUACUUUGAACAAAUUAGAGUGCUCAAAGCAGGCCUUGUGCUUGAAUAGUUAUGCAUGGAAUAAUGGAAUAGGACUUCGUUUCUAUUUUGUUGGUUUUCGGUUGCGAAGUAAUGAUUAAAAGAGACAGACGGGGGCAUCUGUAUGGCCGCGUGAGAGGUGAAAUUUGAUGAUCGUGGCCAGACAAACUACUGCGAAAGCAUUUGCCAAGGAUGUUUUCAUUA